GACUCUGUGGUGAAAUUCAUGUUGAGUUGCAAGCUCAUCGAUGUACAUGAGAAAUGUGCCGGAGUCU
This 67-nucleotide transfer RNA is filed under the name Antrostomus carolinensis (chuck-will's-widow). Its description in RNAcentral is "tRNA-Cys". Lineage: Eukaryota; Metazoa; Chordata; Aves; Caprimulgiformes; Caprimulgidae. The record is from RNAcentral.